AUUGAACGCUGGCGGCAGGCCUAACACAUGCAAGUCGAGCGGAUGAAGGGGGCUUGCUCCUGGAUUCAGCGGCGGACGGGUGAGUAAUGCCUAGGAAUCUGCCUGGUAGUGGGGGAUAACGUCCGGAAACGGGCGCUAAUACCGCAUACGUCCUGAGGGAGAAAGUGGGGGAUCUUCGGACCUCACGCUAUCAGAUGAGCCUAGGUCUGAUUAGCUAGUUGGUGGGGUAAAGGCCUACCAAGGCGACGAUCCGUAACUGGUCUGAGGGGAUGAUCAGUCACAGUGGAACUGAGACACGGUCCAGACUCCUACGGGAGGCCGCAGUGGGGAAUAGUGGACACUGGGCGAAAUACUGCACCAGCCAUGGAGCGUGGGUGAAGAAGGUCUUCGGAUUGUAAAGCACUUUAAGGUGGGAGAAACGGCAGUAAGUUAAUACCUUGCUGUUUUGACGUUACCAACAGAAUAAGCACCGGCUAACUUCGU
Molecule: ribosomal RNA, 483 nt
Filed under: uncultured bacterium
Lineage: Bacteria
Description: partial 16S ribosomal RNA
Rfam family: Bacterial small subunit ribosomal RNA
Source: RNAcentral